RNAcentral lists this ribosomal RNA (514 nucleotides) under uncultured bacterium. Its description in RNAcentral is "bacterial SSU rRNA". It matches the Rfam family "Bacterial small subunit ribosomal RNA", at positions 28 to 517 of the family's 1533-position model. The record is from RNAcentral.
GACGAACGCUGGCGGCGUGCCUAACACAUGCAAGUCGAGCGGAGUCGAUCGACGGAAGCCUUCGGGCGGAAGAUGGUUGACUUAGCGGCGGAUGGGUGAGUAACGCGUGGGCGACCUGCCUCGAAGACCGGGAUAACAGCCCGAAAGGGCUGCUAAUACCGGAUGUGGUCAAGGAUCCGCAUGGAUUUUUGAUUAAAGGGGAAACCCGUUUCGAGAUGGGCCCGCGUCCUAUCAGCUAGUUGGUGAGGUAAAAGCUCACCAAGGCGAAGAUGGUUAGGGGUUUUGAGAGAGAGAUCCCCACAUUGGAACUGAGAUACGGUCCAGACUCCUACGGGAGGCAGCAGUAGGGAAUAUUGGGCAAUGGGCGAAGCCUGACCCAGCCAUGCCGCGUGAAGGAAGACGGCCUUAUGGGUUGUAAACUUCUUUACUAUGCGACUAACUAGAUUUACGAGAUAAUUCUAUAGAAUGUAGCAUAGCAAAAAAGCAACCGGCUAAACUCCGUGCCAGCAGCCCG